This 446-nucleotide ribosomal RNA is filed under the name uncultured bacterium. Its description in RNAcentral is "bacterial SSU rRNA". It matches the Rfam family "Bacterial small subunit ribosomal RNA", at positions 354 to 796 of the family's 1533-position model. The record is from RNAcentral.
GUAAGGAAUAUUGGACAAUGGUCGGAAGACUGAUCCAGCCAUGCCGCGUGAAGGACGAAGGCGCUCAGCGUUGUAAACUUCUUUUGGAUGGGGAUAAUAACCUCGAUUUAUCGGGGCUUGAAGGUACCAUCAGAAUAAGCACCGGCUAACUCCGUGCCAGCAGCCGCGGUAAUACGGAGGGUGCGAGCGUUAUCCGGAAUCACUGGGUUUAAAGGGUGCGUAGGCGGCGAGGUAAGUCAGUUGUGAAAUUCCCCGGCUCAACCGGUGGGACUGCGAUUGAUACUGCUUUGCUUGAAACAGGUUGAGGUAAGCGGAAUGUGACAUGUAGCGGUGAAAUGCAUAGAUAUGUCAUAGAACACCGAUUGCGAAGGCAGCUUGCUGGGCCUUGUUUGACGCUGAGGCACGAAAGCGUGGGGAGCAAACAGGAUUAGAAACCCUAGUAGUCC